AUAUUUUAGAACCAACCAGUUUUGCUCUUUGGACGACCUCAGGGAGAUGGUGAAAUUCGAAUAACCACUCUGGACAAGCAUACAAAACAAGAAAGGCAUAUCUUCUUAUUUGAUUUGGCAGUGAUUGUAUGUAAAAGAAAAGGUGAUAACUACGAAAUGAAGGAGAUAAUAGACCUUCAGCAGUACAAAAUUGCCAAUAAUCCUACUACUGAUAAGGAAAAUAAAAAGUGGUCUUAUGGCUUCUACCUCAUCCAUACUCAAGGACAAAAUGGGUUAGAAUUUUAUUGCAAAACAAAAGAUUUAAAGAAAAAAUGGCUGGAACAGUUUGAAAUGGCUUUGUGAGUAUUUCUACUUUUAAAAGUUAUUUUCCACUAUUUUAAUCACUUACGAAUAACGAACAGCCAGUAUUCGCUAACGUUUGUGUCUGGAGGCUCUGGAGCUGUGUGUUUGAUAACCUCGGUGAAUUUCUUCAAAAAUAAGAGAGAGGGAGCUCUAACCUUCCUUUUGGCUUUCUUAAAGAGCUGUUUUAAUUCUUUAGCACUCGGCAGCCCAAGAAAAUAUUAAUCUUUCUAAUGAUAAACUUUUAAUGUAAUCUCUAUUAAAAUAUAUAUCUUUAAAUUAGAUAAAAAUACCCUCACAUAGACAAAAUAUAUACAUAUGUUGCACAUACCUUAUUACAAUAGAAAGGUUGAUUUCUUCCCUCUGUUUUAAACUCAUUUAUUGUCUGAAUCCUGCCUAAAUUUGGAUGUAUUCAAUGAAUGCUUUUAGAGCAUAAUUUCUUUAAAAUAAAGAAGAAAUUCAACAAAAAGGUGGAAAAUAAGUCAGAUCUGUUUCAAAAGAAAUGGCACACAGAGCUGUCAUUACCCACAAACGUGUUUUAUAGGUGUUUCUUUUUAGUCUUGAUGUCUACGAAUUAAAAAGUGACUUAUAUUGUGGAAACACAUUGGUCACCCUGAAGUAAAACUACUAGCAAAGGUAGAAUUGAGAGA
Non-coding RNA from Castor canadensis (American beaver), 989 nucleotides. NCBI's taxonomy places the organism in Eukaryota, Metazoa, Chordata, Mammalia, Rodentia, Castoridae. The record is from RefSeq and is a predicted model, not a curated record.